RNAcentral lists this ribosomal RNA (207 nucleotides) under uncultured bacterium. Its description in RNAcentral is "partial 16S ribosomal RNA". It matches the Rfam family "Bacterial small subunit ribosomal RNA", at positions 568 to 774 of the family's 1533-position model. The record is from RNAcentral.
CACGUAGGCGGCCGGAUAAGUCGAAGGUGAAAUCCCCGGGCUCAACUUGGGAAUUGCCUUCGAUACUGUUCGGCUCGAGUCCGGGAGGGGGAAGCGGAAUUCCCAGUGUAGCGGUGAAAUGCGUAGAUAUUGGGAGGAACACCGGUGGCGAAGGCGGCUUCCUGGACCGGUACUGACGCUGAGGUGCGAAAGCGUGGGGAGCAAACA